AGAGAGAGAAAGAGAGAGACAGACAGACAGAGACAGAGACAGAGAGAAUAGAUAAUGGUAAGUAUAGUUAUUGAGAUAACAGAAUGGCCCUAGUUUAGAGUUGGAAGGCAAACAUAACUCUAAAAAUGGUUAUCAAUGACUUUUCAGAACAUUAAAAUAAGUCAAACCAAUUAGGACAAAUGAUCAUGCAAUUUUACAAUGCUUCUUGUUUGAAAUUUUACUUCUACAGAUGGAUCAAGGGAUUAGGGGUAACUAAAAAGUCUGAAUUGCCUGGGAGAUAGUAGAAUUGCUGGGUUGCAAGGAAAGUUCUCUGGUGUGUUCAUUGAUCUUUAAAUAAGACCAAGGGAUGGUGGGAAGAAAAAACAACUGGCAUUUUGUUGGAUGUACUCUAUGUGAAAUGCUCUACUAGGCUCUGUCACAGACACAUUAUUUCAUAUAUUAUCACCUGAGCCCUUUAAGAUUGGCAUUUUUUGUUUUUUUAUUUUUCCAGUGGCAAUGCUGAAGCUUUGGAGGUUUAUAUAACCUGACCAGUGUCAGGCAGCUAACAAAUUUUGAAAUUAUGUCUAGAAUUCAAAUAAGUUUGUCUCCAAAAUCUGUAUUUUUCUUCAACCAGAUAUAUCUCACAUGAUUUAUUUUUCUCAUAAUCACUCAUGACAGAAGUAAGUAUUUAAUCACUACAUAUCUUCCCAGACUCAUUUUUCUCCAGACUCUUCUCUCUGCAGUUAUUUUCUACUUCUGUCAUUGGGCAGAUGCCUUAUGCUUUUUCAAACACUCCUAUCCAAAAGCUCUAUCUAUUCUUUGGCUCAAUUUGCCUGCAAUGCCUUCACCAGGACAUUGACUCAUUGACUUGGGUUGCCUUUUAUUCACAUGGGUAUAAGAGUUCGUGGGCUGGAAGCCAAACAUACAUAUAUAUACAUGAAUUGGAAUUUUACAUUACAUUAAACUGUGAAACAGAGAAACUGGGCAAAAGCAGUAGCAAUUUUGCUUUUCAGAGAUUUAAUUUUGGGAUGUGAUGAUGCUUUUUUCUUUUUUUCUAGUUAUUUAAUAUUUAUUUUAAGAAAGCUUUUUUGCUAUCCUAUUUCACUUCCUAACAUACAAUCUAGCCAAUUAAAUCAUGAGUCUGAAACUUCAAGGCCUUGAGCAAGUUCUUUACCGAGGGACUGGUUCACUGUUGUGUUGAGAAUAGAUUUUGGAUGCCAUGGUGAAAGCAGGAAGACCAAUUUCAAAGAUAUUGGAAUAAUUCAGAAUUCUGUAUAUGUGGGCCUACUUUUCUAGGAGAUUGUAAUAAAAGCCACCAAAGCAAUUCUGGACCACUGCACAAAUUA
Molecule: long non-coding RNA, 1325 nt
Organism: Sapajus apella (tufted capuchin)
Lineage: Eukaryota; Metazoa; Chordata; Mammalia; Primates; Cebidae
Exons: 3
Source: RefSeq, a predicted model, not a curated record